UACGAACCGUGCAAACGUUAUUCGGAAUCACUGGGCUUAAAGGGCGCGUAGGCGGGCCGCCAGGUCCGGGGUGAAAGCCUCCAGCUCAACUGGAGAAGUGCCUUGGAUACCGGCGGCCUCGAGGGAGGUAGGGGCGUGCGGAACUUCGGGUGGAGCGGUGAAAUGCGUAGAUAUCCGAAGGAACACCGGUGGCGAAAGCGGCGCGCUGGAUCUCUUCUGACGCUGAGGCGCGAAAGCCAGGGGAGCAAACGGG
Molecule: ribosomal RNA, 253 nt
Filed under: uncultured bacterium
Lineage: Bacteria
Description: partial 16S ribosomal RNA
Rfam family: Bacterial small subunit ribosomal RNA
Source: RNAcentral